AUUGAACGCUGGCGGCAGGCCUAACACAUGCAAGUCGAGCGGAUGAAGGGAGCUUGCUCCUGGAUUCAGCGGCGGACGGGUGAGUAAUGCCUAGGAAUCUGCCUGGUAGUGGGGGGUAACGUCCGGAAACGGGCGCUAGUACCGCAUACGUCCUGAGGGAGAAAGUGGGGGAUCUUCGGACCUCACGCUAUCAGAUGAGCCUAGGUCGGAUUAGCUAGUUGGUGGGGUAAAGGCCUACCAAGGCGACGAUCCGUAACUGGUCUGAGAGGAUGAUCAGUCACACUGGAACUGAGACACGGUCCAGACUCCUACGGGAGGCAGCAGUGGGGAAUAUUGGACAAUGGGCGAAAGCCUGAUCCAGCCAUGCCGCGUGUGUGAAGAAGGUCUUCGGAUUGUAAAGCACUUUAAGUUGGGAGGAAGGGCAGUAAGUUAAUACCUUGCUGUUUUGACGUUACCAACAGAAUAAGCACCGGCUAACUUCGUG
This 484-nucleotide ribosomal RNA is filed under the name uncultured bacterium. RNAcentral's name for it is "partial 16S ribosomal RNA". It matches the Rfam family "Bacterial small subunit ribosomal RNA", at positions 30 to 507 of the family's 1533-position model. The record is from RNAcentral.